AUUUAGCCCCGAUAGAAGUGGAAAUCCUUUUGUGCCGGGGUUCGGCGCAAAAGAUUGAAACAAAUAGCGGGACUAGAC
This 78-nucleotide small RNA is filed under the name Flavobacterium saccharophilum. RNAcentral's name for it is "Flavo-1 RNA". It matches the Rfam family "Flavo-1 RNA". Lineage: Bacteria; Pseudomonadati; Bacteroidota; Flavobacteriia; Flavobacteriales; Flavobacteriaceae. The record is from RNAcentral.